RNAcentral lists this unclassified non-coding RNA (18 nucleotides) under Mus musculus (house mouse). RNAcentral's name for it is "oocyte_clustered_small_RNA5581". The record is from RNAcentral. Lineage: Eukaryota; Metazoa; Chordata; Mammalia; Rodentia; Muridae.
UCCAUCUCUUGUUUCACG